UACGGAGGAUGCGAGCGUUAUCCGGAUUUAUUGGGUUUAAAGGGUGCGUAGGCGGGAUGCCAAGUCAGCGGUAAAAAUGCGGUGCUCAACGCCGUCGAGCCGUUGAAACUGGCGUUCUUGAGUGGGCGAGAAGUAUGCGGAAUGCGUGGUGUAGCGGUGAAAUGCAUAGAUAUCACGCAGAACUCCGAUUGCGAAGGCAGCAUACCGGUGCCCCACUGACGCUGAGGCACGAAAGCGUGGGUAUCGAACAGG
This 252-nucleotide ribosomal RNA is filed under the name uncultured bacterium. RNAcentral's name for it is "partial 16S ribosomal RNA". It matches the Rfam family "Bacterial small subunit ribosomal RNA", at positions 524 to 776 of the family's 1533-position model. The record is from RNAcentral.